Long non-coding RNA from Hippocampus comes (tiger tail seahorse), 212 nucleotides. RefSeq lists it as uncharacterized. The record is from RefSeq and is a predicted model, not a curated record. The transcript is spliced from 2 exons. NCBI's taxonomy places the organism in Eukaryota, Metazoa, Chordata, Actinopteri, Syngnathiformes, Syngnathidae.
CAAUGAGCGGUUUACCUCUUCAAUCUGCCAAACGGGGCAAAUCAGCUGAAUGACGAACGAAAAUGAGAGAACCCUCCAAAACAAUGUUGGUUUUAUGAUUUCCGCAAAAUCCAGCACGUGACGGUCAAUCUCAUCGCCCGCAUGUUCAAAUCGAUAUAAAUGCAAUUGGGCUUUUCCGUUUACUGUUUGUUUGAGCACAAGCUUUUCCAAAU